GAUGAACGCUGGCGGCGUGCCUAAUACAUGCAAGUCGAGCGAACAGACGAGGAGCUUGCUCCUCUGACGUUAGCGGCGGACGGGUGAGUAACACGUGGAUAACCUACCUAUAAGACUGGGAUAACUUCGGGAAACCGGAGCUAAUACCGGAUAAUAUAUUGAACCGCAUGGUUCAAUAGUGAAAGACGGUUUUGCUGUCACUUAUAGAUGGAUCCGCGCCGCAUUAGCUAGUUGGUAAGGUAACGGCUUACCAAGGCAACGAUGCGUAGCCGACCUGAGAGGGUGAUCGGCCACACUGGAACUGAGACACGGUCCAGACUCCUACGGGAGGCAGCAGUAGGGAAUCUUCCGCAAUGGGCGAAAGCCUGACGGAGCAACGCCGCGUGAGUGAUGAAGGUCUUCGGAUCGUAAAACUCUGUUAUUAGGGAAGAACAAAUGUGUAAGUAACUAUUCACGUCUUGACGGUACCUAAUCAGAAAGCCACGGCUAACUACGUG
RNAcentral lists this ribosomal RNA (497 nucleotides) under uncultured bacterium. RNAcentral describes it as "partial 16S ribosomal RNA". It matches the Rfam family "Bacterial small subunit ribosomal RNA", at positions 28 to 507 of the family's 1533-position model. The record is from RNAcentral.